This 2308-nucleotide long non-coding RNA is filed under the name Mus musculus (house mouse). RNAcentral's name for it is "predicted gene 12830 (Gm12830)". Lineage: Eukaryota; Metazoa; Chordata; Mammalia; Rodentia; Muridae. The record is from RNAcentral.
AGAGCCCAAAAAACGCGACACCUGGAGCAAUCGCAGCCGCCCGGCGGCCUGGGCCUCAUUAUGGCCGGCCCUUAUCGCGGCGUGCAUCGCAUUAUUUCAUUUCAAAGAAUCCACUGAGAAGCCCGUCCCCGGCCGACAACAGAAAGUAAAAACACAGCUGACUCCCAUUAGGGCCCUCUCACAGGCUCCGCGUGAGCGACCCAUCAAGCCGCUGAUGGGUUCUACAGAUGCGCGAGCAUCCUCCUUCAGCUCCCUGGGUUGUGGGGGUCUCAAUCAGACCUGUCUUCACUGGGCCCACCCUAUUUUCUGGUGGCUUUUGCAGGGCUGGAAGAAGGGGCCUUUCUUAAAGGGGAAAGUGGGAACAAAGCCUCCAACAAAUUAUACAGUCGAGUUUCUGUCGUUUGAGGAAAUGACAUUGGUCAGCACAUCUGGAGUACAAUGGAUAAGCCUCAUCCUGGAUCUCCCUGCCUGGUAACUAUGAAACAAGGCAGCCUGCUGAGCUAUAUGGAGCGCUCAAAGGAAUGUGUCCAAAGCAGGAGACAGCCUCCUAUCCCCUGAUGAGCGUCAUCAAUGUAUGAGCAGCCUCUCCCACUCCCCAGUCUAUGCCACACUCCAUCUUACAUGAGCCACAUGGCAGAAGGCACCAGGAAAGCAGAAGCAGCGAUGCCUUCCUAAGAGACACCAGGAAAGGGAAAGAAGGGUGGGUGUUGCCAGCCAUGGAGGGAGGGGAGAAGCUGCCAGUUACAAGGUUCUUGUUCAUGUAGCUGUGCUACCUCCUCAGCAGCGAGCUUCUGUGGGGGUUGUCCUGGAUUCACUUCCAGUCUGGUAGGAGAUCAUAACACAAAAGAAGUACCCAUUGCUUUCUACAUACACCUGAAUUUAGUCCUCGGAACCCAUGUUUUAAAAGGCCAGGUAUGGUGGUGAGCCUGUAAUCUCAGAGCUGGAGAAACAGAAAUAAGAGGAUCCCUGGGGCUCAGUGGACAGCCAGCCAAGCUUAACCUGCAAGUUCCAGACCAAGUAAGAGACAUUGUCUCAAGGUGGGUGGAGUCUAAGAAACAGAGUGACUCCUGGAGUUGCCCUCUGUCAUCAUAUGCACAGGCACACGGAGACACGUGUACCCUCACACAAGUGUACCAACAUACAUGACCACAAACAUGAGGCAACCACCAAGGGAUUCCUGUGAACUCAGAGAUUUGUCUGUAAGAGCUGACAUCUAGAAAAGAAAGGUGACCGUAAGGAUUCAGUGAUAUGGAAAGAAUCACAUAUGGAAGGACCAAAUGAGAUGGCACAAGGCUAGGUACUUUAUGUCCUUCACCUACUCCAUGUCAACUUCGAUGUGCUGUUGUGCUGAUGAGAUGUGGCAAUGCGAAGUUGCCAUUUCCAGAGAGGGGAAGGCCUGUUUGGAGCAUCAGCUAACUCCUUUGGUGUAAAUUCUCUCACAGUUGCAGAUUUCAAGUUGCCAAAAUGAUAUUAACCAACUCACAGGAGUCCUCAAAAAAGCUGGAUAAUCAUUGGCUAUUCAGGUUGAUCCCAGAGUACCACUGGGUCCAGCUAUCUGAGGUGCUCUCAGCUGCAAGAGAAUUCUGAGCACAACAUCUCAGCCCAAGACUUGCAUUCAAAUGGCAUCUCCAUACUAAGGUUUGUGCCCAGAAGUCACAAACCCACCGAUAAUAACAUAACACAAGUACAGCUACUAUCUUCUGAAGAUCUGUCCUAGGCCAGGUUCCCCCUUCUGAAGUUUGUUUUGUUUUUAUAAGUCAAUGUGUUAAUUUGCACAGUCACUGAUAUAUACUACUAUUAUUCUUUUCUGUAGAUGAGAAAAAACAAGGGUUAGUUUUUAACCUCUGAUCACACAGCUUACUUUGUACUCCAGAAGCUGUCUCAAAAAACAGUCCUCUGUGAAUAACUCCCUUCUUCCAUUCGUUCAACACACAGCAGAUAGAAGCCAGAGUACACUCCUUGGUACUCAGAACCCUUUGGGGGUCAGGUUAAGACAAUUGGCCUAGAUGCUGUCAAUCAGUGUAGCUACUGGAAAUCUGGGUUCAGUAAAAGGAACAGUGAGGUUGAGGGUGAGUGGUGGGUGGGGUUGGACGCUGUGUCUGGAUCUGUGGCAGAAACAUCCAGUUUUCUGUGUGCAGCAGUGAUGAGGGCUCUGGUAUCCAGCUCAAAAGGUACAGAAAAUCUGUGAGCAAGCAAUGGUUUUUACUGAAAAUGUCCCCACAGAUGGCUCAAGCUAGCUCAAGCCAUCUUCCUGGGGUGCCCCCCAACCUGUGAGCUACUCAACAGCCCAUAAUAAAUUUCUACUCUC